UACGUAGGCAGCAAGCGUUGUUCGGAGUUACUGGGCGUAAAGAGUGUGUAGGCGGUUUGCCAAGUCUAGUGUGAAAUCUCCCGGCUUAACUGGGAGGGUGCGCCGGAUACUGGCAAGCUAGAGUGCGGGAGAGGGAAGCGGAAUUCCUGGUGUAGCGGUGAAAUGCGUAGAUAUCAGGAGGAACACCGGUGGUGUAGACGGCUUCCUGGACCGCCACUGACGCUGAGACACGAAAGCGUGGGUAGCAAACAGG
RNAcentral lists this ribosomal RNA (253 nucleotides) under uncultured Acidobacteriaceae bacterium. RNAcentral describes it as "partial 16S ribosomal RNA". It matches the Rfam family "Bacterial small subunit ribosomal RNA", at positions 524 to 776 of the family's 1533-position model. Lineage: Bacteria; Pseudomonadati; Acidobacteriota; Terriglobia; Terriglobales; Acidobacteriaceae. The record is from RNAcentral.